GGGUGGAUCUCAGGAGGUGGAGGGAUAGUCUUAGAUGAGUUGAUGGGUGGAAAGGGCAGCUUCAGGGACAAGGAGUAAGGUUGGUCUGUGAGUUUUUUUUUUUGUCUGUUUUGUGAUAGAAGCGAUUCUGUUUGUAGUUUUUAUUUCUCUCAUUUAAAUAUCUCACAGAUGAGGUUUUCUGUAGAUCCACAUGUUGCAGGACUGAAGCCCCCGUGCUCUCUUUAGAGUCAGUUUCCUUGAUUACCAGCACCAUGUGAGUAAAAAUCAAGUGUCGAACCAGUUGUUAGAUGUCUUCUCUCAGUUUUACGACCAGCUCAAGACGCUCUGGCAGAGCCCGACACCUCAGCUUCCCCCUUGCUCUCGCCAGGUGAGGGGGAAGCUGAGGUGUGAUACAGGAAAGAGUCUUGAUAGGCUAGGCUUCCUUCCUCAUGACCAUUUGGUUUUGACAUAGCAGCAGUCAGAUUUAUCAAGGCAGUCACCGCUAGAUAGACGGCAAUUGUGUAGGAGAGGCUGCCUGAACCCGCUCGUGGCCUCAAGCUCAACUCAAGAAAACCACAAGAGGAGACACGACAGAGUUCAACAAAGGUAAGGGCUGAAGAGGACAUGACGGCCUGACUGCUUGCAGAUGAUGUCCACCUUCUAUUUCCUAUCUUUCUCCCUCUCUCGUUUCCCUCUUUUUCUAUGCCCUCUACCCCCUCCUCCUCACUGCCUGCCUCCUCCUCCUCUCUCUCUCUCUCCCUCUCUUUCUCGCUCUGCCUCUUGCAGCUGAAGCAACACGCCUUGCUGUGGCUGGUCAAACGGAACCAAGUCAGGUGUUUCUAGUGAGGUUUGGUCCCCUUCAACCAGCUACUGCGUCGUGAAUUCAGUCAGCAUACACCGGCGUGGAAUCAAAGACACAGUGGUGGCGUUUGCGAGCAUAUACUCCGGAGGUGGUAGCCAACAGUAGAUUGUUUCUUUCAUUUAGCGGCGCGGUAGUGGUUGUUUCCUGUGUGGAAAUGUGUGAUCUGAAAAAGCAAAUAAAAGAUUACUGACAACA
Long non-coding RNA from Lates calcarifer (barramundi perch), 1036 nucleotides. RefSeq lists it as uncharacterized. The record is from RefSeq and is a predicted model, not a curated record. The transcript is spliced from 2 exons. NCBI's taxonomy places the organism in Eukaryota, Metazoa, Chordata, Actinopteri, Centropomidae.